RNAcentral lists this unclassified non-coding RNA (314 nucleotides) under plant metagenome. Its description in RNAcentral is "partial contains 5.8S ribosomal RNA, internal transcribed spacer 2, and large subunit ribosomal RNA". The stretch from base 1 to 105 matches the Rfam family "5.8S ribosomal RNA", at positions 50 to 154 of the family's 154-position model. The record is from RNAcentral.
GAAAUGCGAUAAUUAAUGUGAAUUGCAGAAUUCAGUGAAUCAUCGAGUCUUUGAACGCACAUUGCGCCCCCUGGUAUUCCGGGGGGCAUGCCUGUCCGAGCGUCAUUGCUGCCCUCAAGCACGGCUUGUGUGUUGGGCUUCCGUCCCUGGCAACGGGGACGGGCCCAAAAGGCAGUGGCGGCACCAUGUCUGGUCCUAGAGCGUAUGGGGCUUUGUCACCCGCUCCCGUAGGUCCAGCUGGCAGCUAGCCUCGCAACCAAUCUUUUUAACCAGGUUGACCUCGGAUCAGGUAGGGAUACCCGCUGAACUUAAGC